RNAcentral lists this long non-coding RNA (1057 nucleotides) under Salmo salar (Atlantic salmon). RNAcentral describes it as "lncRNA (ENSSSAG00000087191.1)". The record is from RNAcentral. Lineage: Eukaryota; Metazoa; Chordata; Actinopteri; Salmoniformes; Salmonidae.
UUUUGACACUAGAUGGCAGAAAAUUCAUUGCUAAAAGUUUCUAUGGGAACGAGCUCUAUCGAUAGGACAAGAAAGCUGUGCCCGACAAAAACUAUUGAAAAUUAGCCUGGGGCUCACUGUGGUGACGUAAUGAUUUGAUGGGGAUGGGAAGCAUGGUCUGCGCUGGUGCACGAUGUGCGCACGGGAGAGGAGUUUCAUAUUCUGGCAUGGAUAUUCAGAGAAAAUAGGAUUUUUUUGCGAUCAUGCGUGAUGGAACUGUAUUAAGCCCAUUGGACUGAACUAUGCUCAUCAGAUCUCAUCAUCAGUGGGUUAAACCCUAUCAAUUCCAAUGAAGGCAGGGCAUCACUGCUGCAGGCUGCAUCCCUAACUAAUCACCAUGGAUCAGAGACCAGCAUCCUCUGGGACCCAGUUUCUCCUGUCAUUCCUGUGGCCCAGUCCUCAAUGCAGCAUCUCUGGGUUGAGACUGAAGAAGCAGAGCGAUGGUUGACCUCACCACUGCCAGAGUCCUAUGGGAGGUAUCGAAUCUGAUCAUUUCUUUUGAGAAGUGGUGUAUCCUUAUUGACAACCUGGGAAGAAGGAUCUGGGAUUUCCCUUCCCCUUGGGGAUUAUUGGGUUGUGGAUAUUGACGAGUUGGGACUGAGCAGAGAGGAGAGGGGGGUAUCUGGCGUUCAGCCUGAGAUGGAAUCGGGAGCUGAGGGGAGCCAGCAUCAGCACCAGAGGAUGAAGCCUGUGACACAUGCAUUGGAGGACCAGAAAAAGGAGACAAAAGAUGGAGCACGCCCCCAUCCACAUCGACGGGGCCGCAGUGGAGAAGGUCAAAAGCUUCAAGUUUCUCGGCAUGCACGUCACCGAGGACCUGAAAAAGGCACAACAGCACCUCUUCAACCUCAGGCGGCUGAAGAAAUUCGGCAUGGCCCCUGAGACCCUUGCGAACUUCUACAGAUGCACCACUGAGAGCAUUCUGUCGGGCUGAAUCACCGCCUGGCUCUUUCUGAGGGCAGUGCCAUCAGCCCAAUGCACCAUCUGGGGCACGUUGCCUGCCCUCAUUAAGGUCUGU